This 508-nucleotide ribosomal RNA is filed under the name uncultured bacterium. Its description in RNAcentral is "bacterial SSU rRNA". It matches the Rfam family "Bacterial small subunit ribosomal RNA", at positions 32 to 521 of the family's 1533-position model. The record is from RNAcentral.
AAUCAACGCUGGCGGCGUGCCUCAGACAUGCAAGUCGAACGAUUAAAGCUCUCUUCGGAGAGUGUAUAGAGUGGCGCACGGGUGAGUAACACGUAAGUAAUCUACCCUCGAGUGGGGAAUAACAACCGGAAACGGUUGCUAAUACCGCAUAAUGCAGCGGCACCGCAAGGUGACAGUUGUUAAAGAUUUAUCGCUUGAGGAGGAGCUUGCGGCAGAUUAGCUAGUUGGUAGGGUAACGGCUUACCAAGGCUACGAUCUGUAACCGGUCUAAGAGGACGGUCGGUCACACUGACACUGAAUAACGGGUCAGACUCCUACGGGAGGCAGCAGUCGGGAAUUUUGGGCAAUGGGCGAAAGCCUGACCCAGCAACGCCGCGUGAGUGAAGAAGGCCUCGGUUGUAAGACUCUUUCGGUCCGGGAAAACGUACGACCUCUCCUACUACGGGGGUGGGAGUGAUGGUACCGGACGUAACGAAGACACCGGCUACUACGUGCCAGCAGCCGCGGU